AAUAAUUCGAUUUCUGCAGCUCUGGGGACAGGACCUUUUACUCCUGACCAAUCAGUUCCCUUUGCCAAAACCACAGCCGCCUAACCAUUGGCUGGAUUGUUCCAACAAUCAAAUCUCAGGAAAUAGCUACCCACUUGAACAAGAGAGGAUGAAGUAAAUAAAACCAAAAUGAUCUAUUUGAAGGUGGAGCGGGAGUAAGACCACUAGAAAGCAGCAUGCUGCCAGACCACCACAGGACCCUAGAGAUAUUAGUCAAUGCAUAUGAACCAGAUAUUGAAUUUAUAUCAAUGACGCUAACCAAAUGGUUGGUUUGUUCAGAAACAUGUGCACUAAAUGCUAACACGGCUUUGGUGAUGCAAGGUAAAUCAUGUAUUUAUUGUCAUCUCCCUGUCAGGCCUCACUCAGCCUGCUGUGACAUGGGCCCGGAUGGUGACAUAUGCUUCAAGCUGCCUGACUGAAUACAGGGGCCUUCAGCGGUACCUUCCCUUUUGAUUACAGCAGUCUCUUUAUUAAGUCUCAUAGCCAUUUAACAUGUACUUUAUGUAACCACUCAAAUUCUUAAAAACGUAUACAAAUACAUGAACAGACUUAUAUUCACUUGCCUCUGGCUGCGUUUACAGGCAGCCCAAUUCUGAUAUUUUUCCCACUAAUUGGUCUUUUGACCAAUCCCAGAUCUUUUCACAUUGGUUCAUUUUUCAGAGCUGAUUGAUCAAAAGACCAAUUGGUGGGAGAAAAAAAGUGUCAGACUUGGGCUGCCUGUCUAAACACAGCCUAUUUGUCCUAUUCUUCUAACUUGUCUGGGAUAUAUAUAUAUAUUUUAGUUGGCACAACUGUGUGAUAUCUUUUAUAUAUGAAUAAUACUUUUUUCACCCUG
Oncorhynchus keta (chum salmon) is the source of this 874-nucleotide long non-coding RNA. RefSeq lists it as uncharacterized. The transcript is spliced from 2 exons. Lineage: Eukaryota; Metazoa; Chordata; Actinopteri; Salmoniformes; Salmonidae. The record is from RefSeq and is a predicted model, not a curated record.